AAAGUUGGAAGAGUUGCGAACGGGUGAGUAACGCGUAGGUAACCUGCCUACUAGCGGGGGAUAACUAUUGGAAACGAUAGCUAAUACCGCAUAACAGCAUUUAACCCAUGUUAGAUGCUUGAAAGGAGCAAUUGCUUCACUAGUAGAUGGACCUGCGUUGUAUUAGCUAGUUGGUGAGGUAACGGCUCACCAAGGCGACGAUACAUAGCCGACCUGAGAGGGUGGUCGGCCACACUGGGACUGAGACACGGCCCAGACUCCUACGGGAGGCAGCAGUAGGGAAUCUUCGGCAAUGGGGGCAACCCUGACCGAGCAACGCCGCGUGAGUGAAGAAGGUUUUCGGAUCGUAAAGCUCUGUUGUAAGAGAAGAACGUGUGUGAGAGUGGAAAGUUCACACAGUGACGGUAACUUACCAGAAAGGGACGGCUAACUACGUGCCAGCAGCCGCGGUAAUACGUAGGUCCCGAGCGUUGUCCGGAUUUAUUGGGCGUAAAGCGAGCGCAGGCGGUUUAAUAAGUCUGAAGUUAAAGGCAGUGGCUUAACCAUUGUUCGCUUGGAAACUGUUAGACUUGAGUGCAGAAGGGGAGAGUGGAAUUCCAUGUGUAGCGGUGAAAUGCGUAGAUAUAUGGAGGAACACCGGUGGCGAAAGCGGCUUC
Molecule: ribosomal RNA, 656 nt
Filed under: uncultured bacterium
Lineage: Bacteria
Description: bacterial SSU rRNA
Rfam family: Bacterial small subunit ribosomal RNA
Source: RNAcentral